RNAcentral lists this ribosomal RNA (484 nucleotides) under uncultured bacterium. Its description in RNAcentral is "partial 16S ribosomal RNA". It matches the Rfam family "Bacterial small subunit ribosomal RNA", at positions 30 to 507 of the family's 1533-position model. The record is from RNAcentral.
AUUGAACGCUGGCGGCAGGCCUAACACAUGCAAGUCGAGCGGAUGAAGGGAGCUUGCUCCUGGAUUCAGCGGCGGACGGGUGAGUAAUGCCUAGGAAUCUGCCUGGUAGUGGGGGAUAACGUCCGGAAACGGGCGCUAAUACCGCAUACGUCCUGAGGGAGAAAGUGGGGGAUCUUCGGACCUCACGCUAUCAGAUGAGCCUAGGUCGGAUUAGCUAGUUGGUGGGGUAAAGGCCUACCAAGGCGACGAUCCGUAACUGGUCUGAGAGGCUGAUCAGUCACACUGGAACUGAGACACGGUCAAGAGUACUACGGGAGGGAGCAGUGGGGAAUAUUGGGCAAUGGGGGAAAGCAUGAUCCAGCCAUGCCGAGUGUGUGAAGAAGGUGUUCGGAUUGUAAAGACCUUUAAGUUGGGAGGAAGGGCAGUAAGUUAAUACCUUGCUGUUUUGACGUUACCAACAGAAUAAGCACCGGCUAACUUCGUG